CCCUUAGAUGUUCUGGGCCGCACGCGUGCUACACUGAUGCAUUCAACGAGUCUAAAACCUGGUCUGAUAGGGCUGGGUAAUCUUUUGAAAGUGCAUCGUGAUUGGGAUAGAUGAUUGCAAUUCUUCAUCUUCAACGAGGAAUGCCUAGUAAACGCAAGUCAUCAGCUUGCAUUGAUUACGUCCCUGCCCUUUGUACACACCGCCCGUCGCUCCUACCGAUUGAAUGAUCCGAUGAAUACCAUGGAUUGAGAGUACGAAUGGGUUCGCUCAUUUCUGCUGCUCGAGAAGUGGAGUAAAUCUUAUCAUUUAGAGGAAGGAGAAGUCGUAACA
Molecule: ribosomal RNA, 330 nt
Filed under: uncultured eukaryote
Lineage: Eukaryota
Description: partial 18S ribosomal RNA
Rfam family: Eukaryotic small subunit ribosomal RNA
Source: RNAcentral